CUCUUAUUCAGAGUGGUGGAGAUACAUAGGAUCUAUGAAGCCACGGCAACCCCUCUACGGAAGGUGCCAACCUGAGCGAGCAAUCGAACAAUAAGAG
This 97-nucleotide non-coding RNA is filed under the name Lachnospiraceae bacterium 3-1. Its description in RNAcentral is "SAM riboswitch aptamer (S box leader)". It matches the Rfam family "SAM riboswitch aptamer (S box leader)". From Rfam's summary of the family: The SAM riboswitch is found upstream of a number of genes which code for proteins involved in methionine or cysteine biosynthesis in Gram-positive bacteria. The SAM riboswitch acts at the level of transcription termination control. The predicted structure consists of a complex stem-loop region followed by a single stem loop terminator region. Lineage: Bacteria; Bacillati; Bacillota; Clostridia; Lachnospirales; Lachnospiraceae. The record is from Rfam by way of RNAcentral. RNAcentral also lists the same sequence under 1 other name.